ACUAGGGGGUGCCACCUUUCAGCUUUGGUUUCAUGGUAACAGAAAAGUUGAUACCCACGUUGUCAGGUUCAGAUCGUGAGAGGACUAUCACUAGUGACAGCUGGUGCAUGUUAUCUCUAUGUUCUACUUCUCAUGCAUGAUUAGUGCAUAUAGCGCCGUGGAGACCUGGCAUUGUAUGGUCUUGUUCUGUAGAAUAAAGUGUGGAAAUCCCCACUAUGUGCACUGAUUACUGAAUGCUAACGCUGCUACAACCAAACUUUGAGUAUGCGAUUCUACUGUGGAAGCACCAGUCUAUGGGAAGCACGUGGACACCAUGAGUUUACAGAGGAAGAAUCAGACUCAAUGGACCAAAGGAAAAAAGAGACAAACUUCGACUCUAACGUCAAUAUUAAGGAGUUAAACCAGAAAAGGAUGGAAGUAAGUCUUUAAAGCUCCUGACGCCUCCCCAGAGGAGCCGUGAAGGAGGAGGAGGAGGAGGAGGAGGAGGAGGAGAGGAAUUCCACCGGAUUCAAAGACUUCUCCGGGUUUGCUUUUGACUCCUCUGCCUUCGCCUUGCCUUCGCCUGGCUCCUCGUGUUGACCUGCUCCUCGUGAUCCCCUGCCAAACCAUCUUCCUGGCCCUGAGGGAGCGUUUCUUGUUUGAAGAGCAGCGGUGGAGCCUGAGGACGCUUUGAGGGGGCUGAGCAGAGCAGAGCUGAGCUGGAGCCGGGCCCCGGACGGUCGGCUGCACCUGAGAGCGAAACCUGGUACCUGAGGGUUUUUUCAACAAAUUAUGAUUUCUUCUGAACCAAUAAUAGGAAGAGCAAGACCUCUCUUCUAUCAGCUUGGCCGUGCAUCCGGGCUAAUUGUUCCCCAGAUGUGAACAUCCACAGCCAUCUAAUCACACUCCAUUGUGAAGUCUGUGUCGGAGUCCAGGUUAAUCUGAACUGAGCGCAGAUUUCAAGAAAAAUCAAAAACAUCCUGAUUGGCUGACAGUCCUGGUUAGCUGUGUGAUUUCAGAGUGACUACGCCAUCUCCAAUGGACCUGGACCUCCUACUGAUGAGUGCUCGAUGGAAUUUUGUUUGAAAGACACUCCUUAGAGAUCUUACCCACACACACACACACACACACACAAACACACACACACACACGCAUGCAAACACACAGACUAUCAGAGAGAGAAAGAGAGUCCAAACUCAUAACUGUCAGUGAUGGACAGGUUGAUGCAGAGACUUUUUGAAGUGACAGAAUGGACCAGGUUUCCGCUGCAGACCCCUUCUGAUUGUUUUGCAUUUUCUUCUUCUUGGCUGCGCUUAGAUGUUCAGUGGGAAAUCACAAUAUUUCUAUUGUUGGUAUUUUUACACGGUGUCUGUCUGGAUUGUUUGACUGGGCAAAUUAACAGGUCUAAUGGUUUGAAUAAUUAGGAAAGCAGUGUUUUGUUUCAACAAGCGCUCUGCCAAACAGCUGAAAGAAGAGGUAAGAAGCAAUUCCCUCCCUGUGUAUACAUGCCAACACAUGAAAGUCAUUUAGCUGCACUUAACUGUCGAAAAACAAUUAGGGCAAAGCAUAACAACGUCUGCAUGCACCACUUCUGUUACAUGUUUUCUGUAUCCUCCCUCUUGCCAGCAGAACAAGUAUUGGCAAUCCUCAAAUGCAAGGUACACUUCAUGAAUUUUACAUUAUGCCUGAUCAUUACCAUAACGAUGCUAUCAAAGAUAUUAGGAGCCUUCAACGCUGUUUUCUCCUACACAGGGUGCUCUCUUAGAUCUCUUGUCAAGAAGGUGGGUAUCAUCUACCAUCAUCUAGCAUAUAGCAUGCACGAGCCCCCGCUCCUAAUGAGUGUGUAUGCAUGUCUGAGUGUACAAUAUGUAAAUCCUUGUGUUGAGUGAUCGAGGUGGAGGGGGGUUGACACUGUCUGUGGGUGUGGGUAUGUGAGCAUGUGUGUCAUAAAUUCUUA
Notolabrus celidotus (New Zealand spotty) is the source of this 1936-nucleotide long non-coding RNA. RefSeq lists it as uncharacterized. The transcript has 5 exons. The record is from RefSeq and is a predicted model, not a curated record. Lineage: Eukaryota; Metazoa; Chordata; Actinopteri; Labriformes; Labridae.